GGUCUGAGCACUGCCCUCAAAGUCCAUCUGCCUCCCCAUCCUUCUGUAGUGUGUCAGACAUCCUGCUGCAGGUAAACAUGCCCCAGAAGCUCGUGGUGACCGAAGAGGAAGCCAACUGCCUGGCUACAGCUCUACAGAGCUAUUGACUGAGGAGGAGCGCAUGAAACAGAAAGCAGAGAAGAUAUGAUGAAAGAAGAAGCAUCAAAAGGAAAGAAAACAACAGGAGUGCUUGGAACAGGACAAUGGGGAGCCCAAGGUAAGUUCAACAGGCAGAUAACAAGAUCAGCAAGGUCCAGAAAGAUGGGAGCUGAGAAGGUAGGUAACUCAAGGUGAUCCCAGCUCUGUCCACUUUCCAUCCAGACCACGAUUACCCCAGAGAGGAUGACAGCACCCCCAGCCAACCCUGGAAACCUGGCUCAGGGACUGUGUGGUGAGGAAGAGGUUGGGGAUUGGCUUCCAAGUACCCACAGAGAGAAGGGACCAAAUCAGAAGCCCCAGGGCCUCCAGGAGAAGAUGGGCCCAAAAGAAAGGAACCCCUCAAGAGAGGAGAGCCCUAGGCAAAGUCCAAAGGCACAGCGCUUUGGAGAUGCAGCUGCUGUGUUCCAGGAGAUUCUGGGGGGUGUGUACCAGCCAGAUUCAGCCCGGGAACUCCACUCUUGCCUACUCCAACUUGCUUUGGAUCAACAAGGAAGAAUCCAUGUGCCACCUUGAUCAACUGGAGUCCUCCAGUCACUUCCGCAUGUUGAGACAGGAGACGCAGACCUGUUAUCCUUUGGUCAGAGCAGGUCUUCGGAGCCUGGGCCUUCUGUCUCCACUCACGUCAUGUAUUCUCCCACAUAUCACCUGAGCCAGCCCGCCUUAUCUUUCCCCAGACUCAGAUUACAAGACCCCACCCUCUUCAUCUCCAGGAUCCCUCAAAGAGCUGGGGGAUCCCAUGUCUUGGAUGCCAGCAUCUGCCUCAGCCCAGAUGAGAGAGGCAUUUUGUUGUUGUUGGUGGUGGUGGUGGUUUGUUUUUUUUUUGUGUGUGUGUGGGGGUUCCUCAGUACCAGGGAUCAAAUUCAGGAUCUUGUACUUGCAAGGCAGGCGUGUUGCCACUGAGCUAAAUCCCCAGCCCUGGGAGGCUCUUUCUCUAAUAGAGUGAAAAUAGUGAACACUUUGUGCUAAUAUUUUUCUGCAUAUUUUGAGGCCCUGUAAUUAAAUCCACAUUUAGCUGGACAUGUUCGCACAUGCCUGUAAUCCCAGUACUUGUGAGGCAGAGGCAGGAGGAUUGCCAUAAAUUCGAGUUCAAGGCCAGCCUGAAUUACAGAGUGAGACCCUGUUUCAUAAAACAAGCAAACACUAAAAGUCUAUUAAAGGUACCUCUGGCAAUCAUUCCUUUUGCAUGGAGAAUCUUCUCAUGAGAGAAAGUCCCACAUCCACUGAAACAUUCUUUCUUUGGUUCCCAAGCAGAUGGCUUCUUUUGAGGGUGGUAAGGAAACAUAAACACUUUCAGAGCUCAAGAUGAGGAACCACCUGGGUGCAAGGGUGCACCUGAGAUUCUAGCACUCUGGAAGACUAAGGCAAGAGGAUCACAAGUUCAAGCCCAGCCUGGGCAACUUGGUCACUUAGCAAGACCCUGUCUCAAAAAAAAAAAAAAAAAAAAAAGCAGAUGGCUUCUUUUGAGGGUGGUAAGGAAACAUAAACACUUUCAGAGCUCAAGAUGAGGAACCACCUGGGUGCAAGGGUGCACCUGAGAUUCUAGCACUCUGGAAGACUAAGGCAAGAGGAUCACAAGUUCAAGCCCAGCCUGGGCAACUUGGUCACUUAGCAAGACCCUGUCUCAAAAAAAAAAAAAAAUACUGGUGAUGCAGCUCAGCACAAAGGCACUGGGUUCCAUCUCUAGUACUGCCAAAAAAUAAAGGGUGGGGGACUUGGAAACUGCAGUAUGCAGAAGUUCAGGUUUUUGGACUACAGCAGAGUCAGCAAGGAGGCCUCUGGGACUUGCUGUGUUUCUUGGCCCUAGGGAACUCAUUCAUGAGGUGGAGCUCUGUGCUCAAGAAGGAGGUCCCAAGUAAUAAGUAAAAUUGAGUCCCACCCUUUGCAGCUUGAUGGAUUCUUACCUCUUCCUUACCCCGUUCUUGCUGUUUUUCUCUUGCCACAGUCCCCAGAGUGCUGCUAGCUCCUUGUGCCAUUUUCUGGCCACAUUGCUAUGCAUAAUCAGACCUCCCUGUCCAGUGGUCUGACACCCACCUCCUCCCAUUGCAGGAAGAUUCUUCAAGGGAUUGCAUUUGGGAAGUCCCUUACUAGCUCCUGCCUGGAGCUGCAGGCCCAUACAUCUCCAAUUCCCUGCAUGAUACCCAGACUACUGCUACCAUGGCUGCUUUCUUCACCCCAGCACUGGGCACUGCAGUUAGCCUUUCCCCAUAGGAGUUUUACCACCACGGGUUACAAUUGCUUCUAUGUAAGAUUCAUGAUCUUUUGGCUUCUUUAAGAGCCAAAAGUAGCUCCCCUUAGUUGAGUUCUCCCUGGCCCUGGCUAAAAGCCCAUUUAAGUGUGGAUCCUUAGGUGACUUACCCUCACCCCACCCCAGAGGGACUAUUCAUGAAGAUACAUGAUGCUUCUGCCCUAUAAGUCUAGCCCAAUAAAGUUUGCACUUGGAGAGGGGGGUUGAAACAUCUCUUUUAUAUAGGACUUCUCUCCAUCUUUUCUAUGUUUAUGAUCUAGUUUCCUUAAAUACUAUCUAGCAAAAUGAAGCCUGCCAUUACUAGUUGGGGCAUCUCGGGCAGCUCAAUAUUUAAGCCUCGGUUUCCUCAUCUGUAAAAUGGGGGCUGUUGUGAGGAUUGAAAGUGUAAUAAAAUACCUACAAAGUGCCUGGUAUGUAGUGGGUGCUAAAUAAACCAAAUUUUGCCUGAAACUAUCAUAUACUGUGAUUCCUACAAUAGGAAGAGGAAAAUAAGAGUGAGCUGCUGCUUAAGUUUAGAAAAUCCAAAGUUCCUGGGCCUGUGGGUCUCAAAGUGUCUCUGAACAGCAACAUCAGCAUCAACAAGAAACUUGUAACACAUGCAAAACCCUCAGGUCCUAUGCCAGGCCUAAAUCAAACUAACUUUUUUUUUUUUUAAGACAGGGUCUCUCUCAGUCCCUAAGUCACCCAGCCUGGGCCCAAACUUGGUGACCCUCCUGCCUCAGCUUCCCCGAGUGCUGAGAUUAC
RNAcentral lists this long non-coding RNA (3187 nucleotides) under Fukomys damarensis (Damara mole-rat). Its description in RNAcentral is "lncRNA (ENSFDAG00000032599.1)". The record is from RNAcentral. Lineage: Eukaryota; Metazoa; Chordata; Mammalia; Rodentia; Bathyergidae.